This 472-nucleotide ribosomal RNA is filed under the name uncultured bacterium. RNAcentral describes it as "bacterial SSU rRNA". It matches the Rfam family "Bacterial small subunit ribosomal RNA", at positions 355 to 825 of the family's 1533-position model. The record is from RNAcentral.
UGGGGAAUUUUGGACAAUGGGCGCAAGCCUGAUCCAGCCAUACCGCGUGAGUGAAGAAGGCCUUCGGGUUGUAAAGCUCUUUCAGACGGAAAGAAACGGUCGCGGCCAAUACCCGCGACUAAUGACGGUACCGUAAGAAGAAGCACCGGCUAACUACGUGCCAGCAGCCGCGGUAAUACGUAGGGUGCGAGCGUUAAUCGGAAUUACUGGGCGUAAAGCGUGCGCAGGCGGUUUGGUAAGACAGAUGUGAAAUCCCCGGGCUUAACCUGGGAACUGCAUUUGUGACUGCCAGACUAGAGUGUAGCAGAGGGGGGUAGAAUUCCACGUGUAGCAGUGAAAUGCGUAGAUAUGUGGAGGAAUACCGAUGGCGAAGGCAGCCCCCUGGGCUAACACUGACGCUCAUGCACGAAAGCGUGGGGAGCAAACAGGAUUAGAUACCCAAGUAGUCCCUGAGCGGGCUGGCAAGGCGCAU